AGAGGAGAAAGAAGGAGGGAAGGGAGAAGUGACUAGUUGUCCUUCAAAGACCCCCUUCUCUCCACAGAGGGAGGCAUGCGUGCCCCCUUUCCCUCCUCCCCACACUCCUUCCAGACAAAAGCAAUUAUUUCUUGUAGAAUGUAGUGUGGUUGUGUGCGUCUGUGGAAGAGAGGGAUGGAGGGGAGGGUGUGUGAGAUUGAAAGAGGGGAAAAUAAGAUGGUGUUGGAGGGGUAGAAGAGGAUGGGGAGGUGAGGAGGAGGAGGAGGGAUGCUAACACCUAAAGCAUCCAACCCUUCAUCCUCCAAACACUCUCCAGGCCAAACUCUUCUCUUGCCUCUGCCACAGAAACCACCGAUUCCUGGUGCAUAUUCACAAACGCACGGAGGCCGCUCGGAUGAUCUCAUGAACCUACAGCAGGUGUUCCACCUAAAAACUUUGAAGGUGGAAAAGAAACUUUCUCUUCUGCCUCUUGUCUCACUUGCACAAACGUGGGCAUGUGCUGGAUUUUUUUAAGAUUUUCACCCUAUUAAAUAUAAUUUUCCCUCGGCAUGUUGCUCAAAGGGUUUGCAUCGUUUGACAAGUGAAAUAAACACACGGAAUACGAAUGCUACGCGAUACCUGCCGAUGAUAUCUAUCCCCCUUUAUCUUUGUCUCCGUCCCACCGUCUUGUCUGUGAAGGACCAUACCUAAAUUCAGCAGACAGCCCCCUUCAGUGUGUUCAGUCUUGCUGCCUAUAGGGCCCCUGCAGCGAGUUGGUCCCUGCAGGUUCACUCCCCAAGGACUUGGAGAAACCCAGGGGUCCGAAGGAGAGACGGAGAGAGAGGGAGAGAGAGAUCUCCCUUGGGGGGCAGCUCCAGCCAAUAACCCCUGCUGGACCGCUCUCAUUGGGGGCCCAUGCGGUGCUGAUUGUCCACCUCCCACCCUAUCAAGCCUCCCAAUCCAUACAGAGAUAUAUGGCUCGUUCCAUUGUUUUCUAGGCUCUAUCUUCUCCUGUGCUGUAUUGAGAAAUGCUCUUCUAAAAUUGUCUCUUUCUCUCGCUCUCUCUCUCUCUCUCUGUCUCUCUUCGUCCCUCAUUGUCCCUCUUGCUCUCUCCAUCUCUCACCCUCAACGUGUGUCUCUCAGUGGUUACCAUGGUGACCUGGUGGCUGUGGUGAUGCUGCUGAGGAGAAAGAGGCGCGUGCACGUGAGAGAGGGUAGGAAGGAGGGAGGAAGGCAAGAGGGGUGCAAGGAUGGGUUGUGUGACACAUUUAAGGUAAUUAAGAAAUCAAAAUCAUUUCCAGGAUUAAAUAUCACUGCACCACACUCAUGUCGUGUCAUACAAAGAUGCUGGUUUGCUGCUGAUUCACUUUGAAGGUGCAGGAUGUUUAUAGGGCCCAGCAUGACACCGAGGCAUGGCCUGCAUAAUCAAGCCAUUAAAGUAUGUGGAAACAAACCAUAAAGUUCCUUAAGAUUACAUUUUUUAAGCCUGUGUGUUUCUAAAUCCUAUAACUUUAUGACAUAACCGAUGACGUUGACAUGACACAGUGGAUAUGCAGCAGGAGCUCUGCUGUUUUGAAUAUGAGGCCUCUUCAAAUUGGUGAUUCAUCUAUAUGCUGCCACCUGCAGGCCACAGGAACCACAACCCUUCCUGCUCUUCAUAAGCCAAGAAACCUGCAGUAGCCUCGUGCACACUGUAGCUGGCAGUGACUUUUAAACUUGAUUUGCAUGUUCUCUACUCUAAAUCUAAAAAAGGACUAGCAUAAACACAAA
Scophthalmus maximus (turbot) is the source of this 1749-nucleotide long non-coding RNA. The record is from Ensembl. Lineage: Eukaryota; Metazoa; Chordata; Actinopteri; Pleuronectiformes; Scophthalmidae.